This 444-nucleotide ribosomal RNA is filed under the name uncultured bacterium. Its description in RNAcentral is "bacterial SSU rRNA". It matches the Rfam family "Bacterial small subunit ribosomal RNA", at positions 28 to 490 of the family's 1533-position model. The record is from RNAcentral.
GACGAACGCUGGCGGCGUGCUUAACACAUGCAAGUCGAACGGUGAAGGGGAGCUUGCUCCCCGGAUCAGUGGCGAACGGUGAGUAACACGUGGGCAACCUGCCCCAGACUUCGGGAUAACGCUUCGAAAGAGGUGCUAAUACCGGAUACGAACUCCUUGGGCAUCCCGGGAGUUGGAAAGUUUUUUCGGUCUGGGAUGGGCCCGCGGCCUAUCAGCUUGUUGGUGAGGUAACGGCUCACCAAGGCGACGACGGGUAGCCGGCCUGAGAGGGCGACCGGCCACACUGGGACUGAGACACGGCCCAGACUCCUACGGGAGGCAGCAGUGGGGAAUAUUGCGCAAUGGGCGAAAGCCUGACGCAGCAACGCCGCGUGAGGGAUGACGGCCUUCGGUGUAACCUCUUCAGCAGGAAGAAGCGAAAGUAGACGGUACCUGCAGAAGAAG